GUGAAACCUGUGAUGAUUACUUCGGUUUGAUUCGUGGGUGGAAAGUGGCGAACGGGUGAGUAACACGUAGGUAACCUGCCUCGAAGUGGGGGACAACCAUUGGAAACGAUGGCUGAUACCGCAUAGUUCUGUGGAUAUGGGAGUAUCUUCAGGUAAAGCUCUGGCGCUUCGAGAGGGGCCUGCGUCCGAUUAGCUAGUUGGUGGGGUAAUGGCCUACCAAGGCGACGAUCGGUAGCUGGUCUGAGAGGACGAUCAGUCACACGGGAACUGAGACACGGUCCCGACUCCUACGGGGGGCAGCAGUGAGGAAUAUUGCACAAUGGGGGCAACCCUGAUGCAGCAACGCCGCGUGGAGGAUGAAGGCCUUCGGGUUGUAAAGUCCUUUUCUGAGGGGCGAUAAUGACGGUACCUCAGGAAUAAGUCCCGGCUAACUACGUGCCAGCAGCCGCGGUAAAACGUAGGGGGCGAGCGUUAUCCGGAUUUACUGGGCGUAAAGCGCACGUAGGCGGCGCCGUAAGUUGGACGUGAAAGCUCUCGGCUCAACUGAGAGAGGUCGUUCAAUACUGCGGUGAUUGAGGUUGGAAGAGGAGAGUGGAAUUCCCGGUGUAGUGGUGGAAUGCGUAGAUAUCGGGAGGAACACCAGUGGCGAAGGCGGCUCUCUGGUCCACACCUGACGCUGAGGUGCGAAAGCGUGGGGAGCGAACGGGAUUAGAUACCCCGGUAGUCCACGCCGUAAACGAUGGAUACUAGGUGUAGGAGGUUAUUUACCCCUUCUGUGCCGUAGCUAACGCGUUAAGUAUC
Molecule: ribosomal RNA, 801 nt
Filed under: uncultured bacterium
Lineage: Bacteria
Description: bacterial SSU rRNA
Rfam family: Bacterial small subunit ribosomal RNA
Source: RNAcentral